GACGAACGCUGGCGGUGUGCUUAACACAUGCAAGUCGAACGGUAAGGCCCUUUCGGGGGUACACGAGUGGCGAACGGGUGAGUAACACGUGAGUAACCUGCCCUCAUCUCUGGGAUAACAGUCGGAAACGGUUGCUAAUACUGGAUAUGAGCUUGCACGGCAUCUUGUGGGUUGGAAAGAUUUUUUUUGGUUGGGGAUGGACUCGCGGCCUAUCAGCUUGUUGGUGAGGUAGUGGCUCACCAAGGCUUCGACGGGUAGCCGGUCUGAGAGGGCGACCGGCCACAUUGGGACUGAGAUACGGCCCAAACUCCUACGGGAGGCAGCAGUGGGGAAUAUUGCACAAUGGACGGAAGUCUGAUGCAGCAACGCCGCGUGCGGGAUGACGGCCUUCGGGUUGUAAACCGCUUUCAAUUGUGACGAAGCUUUUUUGUGACGGUAGCAGUAGAAGAAGCACCGGCUAACUACGUG
RNAcentral lists this ribosomal RNA (468 nucleotides) under uncultured bacterium. Its description in RNAcentral is "partial 16S ribosomal RNA". It matches the Rfam family "Bacterial small subunit ribosomal RNA", at positions 28 to 507 of the family's 1533-position model. The record is from RNAcentral.